This 220-nucleotide ribosomal RNA is filed under the name Escherichia coli. RNAcentral's name for it is "partial 16S ribosomal RNA". It matches the Rfam family "Bacterial small subunit ribosomal RNA", at positions 1 to 217 of the family's 1533-position model. The record is from RNAcentral. Lineage: Bacteria; Pseudomonadati; Pseudomonadota; Gammaproteobacteria; Enterobacterales; Enterobacteriaceae.
AAAUUGAAGAGUUUGAUCAUGGCUCAGAUUGAACGCUGGCGGCAGGCCUAACACAUGCAAGUCGAACGGUAACAGGAAGAAGCUUGCUUCUUUGCUGACGAGUGGCGGACGGGGGAGUAAUGUCUGGGAAACUGCCUGAUGGAGGGGGAUAACUACUGGAAACGGUAGCUAAUACCGCAUAACGUCGCAAGACCAAAGAGGGGGACCUUCGGGCCUCUUG